This 156-nucleotide unclassified non-coding RNA is filed under the name soil metagenome. Its description in RNAcentral is "partial internal transcribed spacer 1". The record is from RNAcentral.
CCGAGUUUACAACUCCCAAACCCAUGUGAGCAUACCUACUGUUGCUUCGGCGGGAUUGCCCCGGGCGCCUCGUGUGCCCCGGAUCAGGCGCCCGCCUAGGAAACUCAACUCUUGUUUUAUUUUGGAAUCUUCUGAGUAGUUUUUACAAAUAAAUAA